RNAcentral lists this ribosomal RNA (482 nucleotides) under uncultured bacterium. RNAcentral describes it as "partial 16S ribosomal RNA". It matches the Rfam family "Bacterial small subunit ribosomal RNA", at positions 30 to 507 of the family's 1533-position model. The record is from RNAcentral.
AUUGAACGCUGGCGGCAUGCUUUACACAUGCAAGUCGAACGGUAACAGGCCGCAAGGUGCUAACGAGUGGCGAACGGGUGAGUAAUGCAUCGGAACGUGCCCAGUCGUGGGGGAUAACUACUCGAAAGAGUAGCUAAUACCGCAUACGAUCUAUGGAUGAAAGCGGGGGACCGUAAGGCCUCGCGCGAUUGGAGCGGCCGAUGUCAGAUUAGGUAGUUGGUGGGGUAAAGGCUCACCAAGCCAACGAUCUGUAGCUGGUCUGAGAGGACGACCAGCCACACUGGGACUGAGACACGGCCCAGACUCCUACGGGAGGCAGCAGUGGGGAAUUUUGGACAAUGGGCGCAAGCCUGAUCCAGCAAUGCCGCGUGCAGGAAGAAGGCCUUCGGGUUGUAAACUGCUUUUGUACGGAACGAAACGGCUCUGGUUAAUACCCGGGGCUAAUGACGGUACCGGAAGAAUAAGCACCGGCUAACUACGUG